RNAcentral lists this ribosomal RNA (253 nucleotides) under uncultured bacterium. RNAcentral's name for it is "partial 16S ribosomal RNA". It matches the Rfam family "Bacterial small subunit ribosomal RNA", at positions 524 to 776 of the family's 1533-position model. The record is from RNAcentral.
GACGUAGGGCGCGAGCGUUGUCCGGAUUUAUUGGGCGUAAAGAGCUCGUAGGCGGCUCAUUGCGUCAACCGUGAAAACCAGCAGCUCAACUGUUGGCUUGCGGUUGAUACGGGUGGGCUGGAGUUCGGUAGGGGAGACUGGAAUUCCUGGUGUAGCGGUGAAAUGCGUAGAUAUCUGGAGGAACACCGGUGGCGAAGGCGGCAUCCUGGACCGGCAUUGACGCUGAGGAGCGAAAGCCAGGGGAGCAAACGGG